RNAcentral lists this ribosomal RNA (696 nucleotides) under Echinophyllia patula. RNAcentral's name for it is "partial 12S ribosomal RNA". It matches the Rfam family "Bacterial small subunit ribosomal RNA", at positions 320 to 1422 of the family's 1533-position model. RNAcentral also lists the same sequence under 1 other name. Lineage: Eukaryota; Metazoa; Cnidaria; Anthozoa; Scleractinia; Lobophylliidae. The record is from RNAcentral.
UGAAACAAGGGAAAACGUUGGCAGCAGUAAAGAAUUUUAUGCAAUAUACGAAAGUAAGACAUAGGCAGAACCUUUUAACCUGUCAAAUUAAGUGCCAGCAGACGCGGUGAAACUUAAGGGUUUGUUUUUUAGAAAAAGCAGAAAGCGUGUAAAGGUAAAACAUUUAAAAUAAAUAGAAUUUUUUUAGUAAUAGUGCAAUAUUAAAAGAAAAAAAAGAAUUUUUUAUGUGAAGACAAUUUAUUUUUUUUCUUUAACACGAAGGUUCUGGGAGCAAACAGGAUUAGAGACCCUGGUAGUCGAUACAGUAAAAGAAAGUCGCUUGAGUAGUACGGUCGCAAGAUUAAAAUUCAAAAAACUUGGCUGUUCAUUGUUAUUUAGAGGAGCGCGUUGCUUAAUUCGAUAGCCCGCGAGUUACCUUACCAAAACUAGCUUUUUCAGGUGUUGCAUGGCCGUCGUCAAUUUAUGUUUGAUACAAUAGAUUAAACCCUAGAAAGGUUGAAGUCAGGUAUUAUUGCCUUUAUGUUUUGGGGUUCGAUGCGCUACAUUUUUUUUUUAAUAAAAAAAAAGAGUUCGGAUUGUCUUUAAAAGAGGAUGAUGAAGGGGGAUUUAAUAGUAAUUGAAAAGUAGAGCGUUUCAAUGAAUUUGCCGCAAUGUUAGUACAAAUUGCCCGUCGCCUCUGCUGAUGGAAACAAAGUA